This 77-nucleotide transfer RNA is filed under the name Rhamnusium bicolor. Its description in RNAcentral is "tRNA-OTHER". It matches the Rfam family "tRNA". Rfam says of the family: Transfer RNA (tRNA) molecules are approximately 80 nucleotides in length. Their secondary structure includes four short double-helical elements and three loops (D, anti-codon, and T loops). Lineage: Eukaryota; Metazoa; Arthropoda; Insecta; Coleoptera; Cerambycidae. The record is from RNAcentral.
GGACAGGCAGAUAGCUCAGUGAUUGAGCGUCGGGCUUGGGACCGAAAUGUACCAGGUUCGAAUUCUGGCUGUCUCCA